This is a long non-coding RNA of Oryctolagus cuniculus (rabbit), 1735 nucleotides long. The record is from Ensembl. Lineage: Eukaryota; Metazoa; Chordata; Mammalia; Lagomorpha; Leporidae.
AUGAGGGUGUGGGUUUCUGUUAAUGAAAAGUUGCUUCACAGUCUUGAUGAGGACUCUCAGCUUGCUGUGGACACUGAAAAGGGUGGUCUGAGAGAAACCCAGCAUCAGCAUCAGCAGAGGUUCUGCUCCCAAGAGCUGGUGGCCAUAUCAGAGGCAGCUUCAGGUUGGACGGUCCAAUUGAGAUGCUUAAUUGAUGAACUCCAAGCAAGCCUACUACUCUGGAACCAGGGGGAAUUUGCCUGGUGAUGGUAGCGCUGAACUGGACAGAAAGAAUACUCACAAAAGUUACCAGAGGAACACAUGGCUCAAAGUGUGACUUUACACCAGCCCUCAUUUCUAUCUCCACCUCCUCUGCCAUUCCUUCAUUUCUUAAGUGAUGGGUGAAAAGCCACAAACGGUAGCAAAUUUCCAUGUAUCACCAUUAUUUUUCUGUUACUAUCUGUGGCUUAGUUCAUUUGAAAUACAGAAUGAGACAUGACCAGCAGGCAUUCCUUCAGGUGUAGAACAAUUAGAACAAUGGCACCUGACGUUUAUCUAUGGGUGCUAGAGAGGGAACUGCUGAUACACGUCUAGUUUACUAUGCACAUUAGCACCAACACACAGGGCCUUCUGCUUCACCUACACAUUGUCAUGGUGCACUUGAACUUGUUCACACGGGGACUUCUGGGCACACAGCUUUUGUCAAUUGCACUGGGUGGCUGCUAUUUUUGAACGGGGCGUGAAUACCACGCAAAACACAGCAGAGAAUGAAUUAUUUGUGUCAUAUUUACGUUUUGUCUGAUAAAUUGUAUGGCAAUAAUUGUGUUAUUAACAUUUCUGCUACAAAUUUUAUUGACAUCUUACUUGUGGGUCAUUUCAAGAACAGGAAAAAAGCAUAACCGCUAACAAAGUCUUGCUGAUCUUAAUUUAAGAAGUUUAGAAUUUUUCCUUUGAUGUAGAAUGUUUGAAACAGUGGGUCACAGGGCCCAAAGGCACUUUAGUUCUUUUUAAAGACACAGUAAACUGUGGGUUUUGUCAAAGCAUAUAAUAAGAAACAUAGUAUUUCUCUGUCAUUGCAACAAAUGACAAACUAAAAUUGGAUAUAGAAGUCUUCUUUCUAUUUCCAUCUAAAAGUGAUUUCUUAGGAAGAUUGUACUUUGAAUAUCUGAUUUUGUGAAUAGCAAAUAAUCGUGAAUAAUUAUUUCCUGUUCCCACUGUCUUGCUCAUUGUUUUUGAAGCUAUCUCAAUCUUUGAAGGUCAUUCUUUUUUUCGCCCUUCCAUUGGCAUUCUAAGCCAGUACUUACAUGACUCAGACUAACUUCUCUAAUUUCCAUACAUUAAUUUUCUCAGGAAGUGGUACCAACAGUGCUAGCAACCUUCUCACUGACCCAGCAAGUGCUAGUUAUAUUUCAGAAACAGUCUCUGACAUGAAUUUUGUGUAAUGAAAUUAGUUCCCUAACUAGUGGUUAAGACACCUAUGAUCCACAUUGAAUACCUGGGUUCAUGUCUCUGCUCUGGCUCCCCAAUCCAGCUAUCUGCCAAGGCAGACGGUGGGAAAUAGUGGUUAUGGCCAAAGUAGCUGGGUUCCUGUCAUCACGUGGGAGAUUUGGAUUGAGUUCCUGCGUCCUGUGCUCGGCCAGGCUCAGCCCCAGCCAUUGGAGACCUUUGAGGAGUGAACCAGUGGAUAGGGCACUCUUUUCUCUUUCAAAUGAAUACAUAAAAACUAAUUAAUAAAUAAAAUUAGUGCCAGAGUUCA